Long non-coding RNA from Ipomoea nil (Japanese morning glory), 429 nucleotides. RefSeq lists it as uncharacterized. The transcript has 4 exons. The record is from RefSeq and is a predicted model, not a curated record. NCBI's taxonomy places the organism in Eukaryota, Viridiplantae, Streptophyta, Magnoliopsida, Solanales, Convolvulaceae.
AAAGGGGAGUUGACAUGAUUUCAAUAGACAAAAGAGAAUUGUUUCGAAAUUACAAAGUGUACACAUGCCUGCUAUCCAAUGGCGCUUUGAUGCACACCAGUAUGAGGUCGGGAUGCUUGCUGGUGCUACCAUCGGUGGUCAGGUCUUUGCAACCUAGGGCCUUUGCAGAAACCUUAUGUGGUUCACCACUAUACGGUGGAUGCCAAACUUGCCUCCAUCUUUGCUUGGACACGAGGACUUGCUCACAGGGCUAAGUUGGACAACAACGAUAGACUCUCGGAUUUCACCGAGAAGCUUGAAGCAGCUUGCAUUGGUGCUGUGGAGUCUGGAAAGAUGACCAAGGAUCUUGCACUUAUCAUCCAUGGGUCAAAGUGAGUGUCACCCCCACGGCCCACCUCCACCCCCUUUAGUUAAUAUCUUCAAUUAAUU